AGGGACAGCUGCAAAAGAUGCAACUCAGAAAAGCGGAGGGCAUGUGCAGCAGAUUGUCGAGAAAGCUAUCGAUCAGGGUGCAGAAGCUUUGAAGAAAAAAGGGGUUGAGUUGAUUAAUUCCAACGCUGGUAACUUACCAAGUUUCUCAAAAUGAUCAGCAACAUGAAGCAAGUGUAAAUUGUCACUGUUAAACUACAUCUCACGUAUUUGUAAAAGAAAAUUAGUCCAUUUAACUGAAUAAAACAUAUUGAUAAAAUCA
Rhincodon typus (whale shark) is the source of this 259-nucleotide long non-coding RNA. RefSeq lists it as uncharacterized. The transcript has 2 exons. The record is from RefSeq and is a predicted model, not a curated record. Lineage: Eukaryota; Metazoa; Chordata; Chondrichthyes; Orectolobiformes; Rhincodontidae.